RNAcentral lists this unclassified non-coding RNA (242 nucleotides) under uncultured fungus. RNAcentral describes it as "sequence contains ITS2". The stretch from base 1 to 52 matches the Rfam family "5.8S ribosomal RNA", at positions 103 to 154 of the family's 154-position model. The record is from RNAcentral. Lineage: Eukaryota; Fungi.
AACGCACAUUGCGCCCCUGGGUAUUCCUAGGGGCAUGCCUGUUCGAGCGUCAUUUCAACCCUCAAGCUCAGCUUGGUCUUGGGCCAUGCCGGAAACGGCCGGCCUUAAAACUAGUGGCGGUGCCGCCGGGCUCUACGCGUAGUAACUAUAUCUCGCGUCUGGGUCCCGGCGGACGCUGGCCAGCAACCCUCAUUUUUUUUCUGGUUGACCUCGGAUCAGGUAGGGAUACCCGCUGAACUUAA